CCAUACCAUCCUGAACACACCAGAUCUCGUCUGAUCUCGGAAGCUAAGCAGGGUCGGGCCUGGUUAGAACUUGGAUGGGAAAAGGAUUUUUGUAAUAGUGCUUCCUUUCCCAGAGGUGAUUUACCAUGUG
Ribosomal RNA from Tupaia belangeri (northern tree shrew), 130 nucleotides. The record is from Ensembl. Lineage: Eukaryota; Metazoa; Chordata; Mammalia; Scandentia; Tupaiidae.